Molecule: ribosomal RNA, 764 nt
Filed under: Janibacter sp. 12
Lineage: Bacteria; Bacillati; Actinomycetota; Actinomycetes; Micrococcales; Intrasporangiaceae
Description: bacterial SSU rRNA
Rfam family: Bacterial small subunit ribosomal RNA
Source: RNAcentral
AACGGGUGAAUAACACGUGAGCAACCUGCCCCAGACUCUGGAAUAAGCGCUGGAAACGGCGUCUAAUACUGGAUACGAAACUGGCCCGCAUGGGCAUGGUUUGGAAAGUUUUUCGGUUUGGGAUGGGCUCGCGGCCUAUCAGCUUGUUGGUGAGGUAAUGGCUCACCAAGGCGACGACGGGUAGCCGGCCUGAGAGGGCGACCGGCCACACUGGGACUGAGACACGGCCCAGACUCCUACGGGAGGCAGCAGUGGGGAAUAUUGCACAAUGGGCGAAAGCCUGAUGCAGCGACGCCGCGUGAGGGAUGACGGCCUUCGGGUUGUAAACCUCUUUCAGCAGGGAAGAAGCGAAAGUGACGGUACCUGCAGAAGAAGCACCGGCUAACUACGUGCCAGCAGCCGCGGUAAUACGUAGGGUGCGAGCGUUGUCCGGAAUUAUUGGGCGUAAAGAGCUUGUAGGCGGUUUGUCGCGUCUGCUGUGAAAAUCCGGGGCUCAACCCCGGACUUGCAGUGGGUACGGGCAGACUAGAGUGUGGUAGGGGAGACUGGAAUUCCUGGUGUAGCGGUGAAAUGCGCAGAUAUCAGGAGGAACACCGAUGGCGAAGGCAGGUCUCUGGGCCACUACUGACGCUGAGAAGCGAAAGCAUGGGGAGCGAACAGGAUUAGAUACCCUGGUAGUCCAUGCCGUAAACGUUGGGCGCUAGGUGUGGGACUCAUUCCACGAGUUCCGUGCCGCAGCUAACGCAUUAAGCGCCCCGCCUGGG